This 498-nucleotide ribosomal RNA is filed under the name uncultured bacterium. Its description in RNAcentral is "partial 16S ribosomal RNA". It matches the Rfam family "Bacterial small subunit ribosomal RNA", at positions 30 to 523 of the family's 1533-position model. The record is from RNAcentral.
AUUGAACGCUGGCGGCAUGCCUUACACAUGCAAGUCGAACGGUAACAGGUCUUCGGAUGCUGACGAGUGGCGAACGGGUGAGUAAUAUAUCGGAACGUGCCUAGUAGUGGGGGAUAACUACUCGAAAGAGUGGCUAAUACCGCAUGAGAUCUACGGAUGAAAGCAGGGGAUCGCAAGACCUUGUGCUACUAGAGCGGCCGAUGGCAGAUUAGGUAGUUGGUGGGAUAAAAGCUUACCAAGCCGACGAUCUGUAGCUGGUCUGAGAGGACGAUCAGCCACACUGAGACUGAGACACGGCCCAGACUCCUACGGGAGGCAGCAGUGGGGAAUUUUGGACAAUGGGCGCAAGCCUGAUCCAGCAAUGCCGCGUGCAGGAUGAAGGCCUUCGGGUUGUAAACUGCUUUUGUACGGAACGAAAAGCCCUGGGUUAAUACCCUGGGGCCAUGACGGUACCGUAAGAAUGAGCACCGGCUAACUACGUGCCAGCCGCCGCAGUAA